Molecule: ribosomal RNA, 585 nt
Filed under: Thermococcus sp. AV18
Lineage: Archaea; Methanobacteriati; Methanobacteriota; Thermococci; Thermococcales; Thermococcaceae
Description: bacterial SSU rRNA
Rfam family: Archaeal small subunit ribosomal RNA
Source: RNAcentral
GGCUCAGUAACACGUCGGUAACCUACCCUCGGGAGGGGGAUAACCCCGGGAAACUGGGGCUAAUCCCCCAUAGGCCUGAGGUACUGGAAGGUCCUCAGGCCGAAAGGGCGUAAGCCGCCCGAGGAUGGGCCGGCGGCCGAUUAGGUAGUUGGUGGGGUAACGGCCCACCAAGCCGAAGAUCGGUACGGGCCAUGAGAGUGGGAGCCCGGAGAUGGACACUGAGACACGGGUCCAGGCCCUACGGGGCGCAGCAGGCGCGAAACCUCCGCAAUGCGGGCAACCGCGACGGGGGGACCCCCAGUGCCGUGGCAACGCCACGGCUUUUCCGGAGUGUAAAAAGCUCCGGGAAUAAGGGCUGGGCAAGGCCGGUGGCAGCCGCCGCGGUAAUACCGGCGGCCCGAGUGGUGGCCGCUAUUAUUGGGCCUAAAGCGUCCGUAGCCGGGCCCGUAAGUCCCUGGCGAAAUCCCACGGCUCAACCGUGGGGCUUGCUGGGGAUACUGCGGGCCUUGGGACCGGGAGAGGCGGGGGGUACCCCUGGGGUAGGGGUGAAAUCCUAUAAUCCCAGGGGGACCGCCAGUGGCGAAG